This 264-nucleotide ribosomal RNA is filed under the name uncultured bacterium. RNAcentral describes it as "partial 16S ribosomal RNA". It matches the Rfam family "Bacterial small subunit ribosomal RNA", at positions 30 to 289 of the family's 1533-position model. The record is from RNAcentral.
UUGAACGCUGGCGGCAGGCCUAACACAUGCAAGUCGAACGGUAACAGGAAGCAGCUUGCUGCUUUGCUGACGAGUGGCGGACGGGUGAGUAAUGUCUGGGAAACUGCCUGAUGGAGGGGGAUAACUACUGGAAACGGUAGCUAAUACCGCAUAACGUCGCAAGACCAAAGAGGGGGACCUUCGGGCCUCUUGCCAUCGGAUGUGCCCAGAUGGGAUUAGCUAGUAGGUGGGGUAACGGCUCACCUAGGCGACGAUCCCUAGCUG